RNAcentral lists this microRNA precursor (76 nucleotides) under Tinamus guttatus (white-throated tinamou). RNAcentral's name for it is "mir-10 microRNA precursor family". It matches the Rfam family "mir-10 microRNA precursor family". From Rfam's summary of the family: In this case the mature sequence comes from the 5' arm of the precursor. The record is from Rfam by way of RNAcentral. Lineage: Eukaryota; Metazoa; Chordata; Aves; Tinamiformes; Tinamidae.
CUAUAUGUACCCUGUAGGCUCGAAUUUGUGUAAGCGUCGCAAAAGUCACAAAUUCGUCUCUAGGGGAAUAUAUGGA